AGUUAGCAAGUACGUGCGUUAGGGAUUGAAACAGCAUCCUUUUUUGAAGAAUGAAAAAAAGAUAUAGUGGAAAGCCCGUUAAAAC
This 85-nucleotide small RNA is filed under the name Tenacibaculum todarodis. RNAcentral's name for it is "Tenacibaculum sp. LPB0136 Flavo-1 RNA". It matches the Rfam family "Flavo-1 RNA". The record is from Rfam by way of RNAcentral. Lineage: Bacteria; Pseudomonadati; Bacteroidota; Flavobacteriia; Flavobacteriales; Flavobacteriaceae.